Molecule: signal recognition particle RNA, 92 nt
Filed under: Bacteroidia bacterium
Lineage: Bacteria; Pseudomonadati; Bacteroidota; Bacteroidia
Description: signal recognition particle sRNA small type
Rfam family: Bacteroidales small SRP
About the family: The non-coding component of the signal recognition particle in Bacteroides
Source: RNAcentral
ACCGGCUGACAUAGCCAGCUCCCUCCGAACUCCCCCAGGGCAGGAAUGCAGCAAGGGUAAGAGGUUGUAGCGGUAUGAUGUCAGCCAUUUUU